This 314-nucleotide long non-coding RNA is filed under the name Vitis vinifera (wine grape). RNAcentral's name for it is "long non-coding RNA (VVIN_LNC007850)". Lineage: Eukaryota; Viridiplantae; Streptophyta; Magnoliopsida; Vitales; Vitaceae. The record is from RNAcentral.
AAUUUGUGAUCUGCACUUGAAUUGAAUCUUGCAUUGAAGUUUGGCUUUAAAGCAUUGAUUUCUAUAUCUACCCUUCAAAUGAAUGAAUUUUAUUAUUAUCAUUUUUGUGUUUUAUGGGAAUUUGAUAAUAGGUCAUUUUGUGUCACUAAAAUUUUACUUUAUGCUCUUUCAUUGAACUGAAACCUUGAUUUGUGGGGCAAUGACCUGGUGUAGGUGCUCACCUAUAAAAAAAAACCAAAAAAAAUGACCUGGUGUAGAUGCUGAAGCAAUAUAUUUCAUUCCAAUUUUGUUGAUGAUAUGUUUGAUUGCUUGUU